ACGGGGUGCAGCAGGCGCGAAACCUCUACAAUGCACGAAAGUGUGAUAGGGGAAUUCUACGUGCAAGUUUUACUUGCUUUUCUCAAGUUUAAACCGCUUGGGGAAUAAGGGCUGGGCAAGACCCGUGCCAGCCGCCGCGGUAACACGGGCAGCUCGAGUGGCGUUCGCGAAUAUUGGGCCUAAAGCGUACGUAGCCUGUUAAACAAGUUCCUGGUGAAAGCUUGCGACUUAAUCGUGAGAAUUGCCAGGAAAACUGUUUGACUUGGGACCGGAAGAGGUCGGAGGUAUUCUAGGGGUAGGGGUAAAAUCCUGUAAUCCCUGGAGGACCAUCGGUGGCGAAGGCGUCCGACUGGGACGGGUCCGACGGUGAGGUACGAAAGCUAGGGGAGCGACCCGGAUUAGAUACCCGGUUAGUCCUAGCCGUAAAUGAUGUCUGUUUGGUAUUGCAAUUUCUACGAGAGAUUGCAGUGCCGUAGGGAAGCCGUUAAACAGACCGCCUGGGGAGUACGGCCGCAAGGCUGAAACUUAAAGGAAUUGGCGGGGGAGUACUACAAGGGGUGGAGGCUGCGGUUUAAUUGGAUACAACGCCGGACAACUCACCAGGGAAGACAGCACUAUGAUGGUCAGUCUAAAGGGCUUACUUGAGGCGCUGAGAGGUGGUGCAUGGCCACCGUCAGCUCGUGCAGUGAUGUGUCCUGU
RNAcentral lists this ribosomal RNA (699 nucleotides) under uncultured archaeon. RNAcentral's name for it is "bacterial SSU rRNA". It matches the Rfam family "Archaeal small subunit ribosomal RNA", at positions 325 to 1029 of the family's 1478-position model. The record is from RNAcentral.